Molecule: unclassified non-coding RNA, 298 nt
Filed under: uncultured Tricholoma
Lineage: Eukaryota; Fungi; Basidiomycota; Agaricomycetes; Agaricales; Tricholomataceae
Description: sequence contains ITS2
Rfam family: 5.8S ribosomal RNA (bases 1-52)
Source: RNAcentral
AACGCACCUUGCGCUCCUUGGUAUUCCGAGGAGCAUGCCUGUUUGAGUGUCAUGAAAUUCUCAACCUUUUCAGCUUUGUUCGUUGAUCAGGCUUGGAUGUGGGAGUAUGCGGGCUUCUCAGAAGUCGGCUCUCCUUAAAUUCAUUAGCAGGACCCUUUGUUGCCUGGCUUUGGUGUGAUAAUUAUCUACGCCAUUGUGGUCAAGCAGCUUAUAAUGGGGUUUCAGCUUCUAAUCGUCUCUUGAGACAACUUUCUGACAAUUUGACCUCAAAUCAGGUAGGACUACCCGCUGAACUUAA